RNAcentral lists this ribosomal RNA (494 nucleotides) under uncultured bacterium. Its description in RNAcentral is "partial 16S ribosomal RNA". It matches the Rfam family "Bacterial small subunit ribosomal RNA", at positions 28 to 507 of the family's 1533-position model. The record is from RNAcentral.
GACGAACGCUGGCGGCGUGCUUAACACAUGCAAGUCGAACGGAAAGGCCUGCUUUCCCUUGUGGAUUGCGGGUACUCGAGUGGCGAACGGGUGAGUAACACGUGAGUGAUCUGCCCCCAACUUGGGUAUAAGCCUGGGAAACUGGGUCUAAUUCCAGAUAGGACUGCAGGGUGGUGCCUGUGGUGGAAAACGAUUUUCUAGUGGUUGGGGAUGAGCGCGCGGCCUAUCAGCUUGUUGGUGGGGUAGUGGCCGACCACGGCGGCGACGGGUAGCCGGCCUGAGAGGCUGGACGGCGACAUUGGGACUGAGAUGCGGCCCAGACUCCUACGGGAGGCAGCAGUGGGGAAUAUUGCACGAUGGGCGGAAGCCUGAUGCAGCGACGCCGCGUGGGGGAUGACGGCCUUCGGGUUGUAAACUCCUUUCGACCGCGAGGAAGCCACCUGGUUGGAAGGGUGGUGACGGUAGUGGUAGAAGAAGCACCGGCUAACUACGUG